GAUAAUCAUUUGCAAGACGGUUCCUCUAUGAGGAUGAAAAGGGAAUGUGGAGAAGUUGGCAUAAUGCCAGCUAAGUCCGCAGCUGCCCCCGCAACUGUGAGCGGCAAGCCGAGCGCCAACAUGUCACUGGGGGAAACCCGGGAAGACGGCGUCUAGGCAGCGACCCGCGAGCCAGGAGACCUGCCGUCACAGGUGCCUGAUC
This 202-nucleotide non-coding RNA is filed under the name Methyloceanibacter caenitepidi. The record is from RNAcentral. Lineage: Bacteria; Pseudomonadati; Pseudomonadota; Alphaproteobacteria; Hyphomicrobiales; Hyphomicrobiaceae.